AAGAGUUAGCUUGGGGGAAAAUAGCUGCCCGAGUCAAUGCGUGCAAUCCUGCAGGCAUAAAAAGAACGUGGCAGCAGCUAAAAAUGAAAUAUAAAAACAUAAUUCAAACAGCCAACAGAAAGAAGGCAGAGGCCAGAAAAACUGGUGGAGGCCCUGCACCACCACCACUGACACAUGCAGAGGAGAUGGCCCUCAGCCUAAACACUGGAAAGCCAGUGGCUGAGGGAAUUCCUGGAGGGAGUUCAUCAGAACCAGUCACUCCCCAGGAUACAAGUGCAUUCAUUACAUGUAAGAGGCCUACCUAUAUAUUCUAUUUUUUACAUAGGCUACUUUUGAUAUAUCCAUUUAUUACACUCUGG
Molecule: long non-coding RNA, 359 nt
Organism: Monopterus albus (swamp eel)
Lineage: Eukaryota; Metazoa; Chordata; Actinopteri; Synbranchiformes; Synbranchidae
Exons: 3
Source: RefSeq, a predicted model, not a curated record